AUAAUUAUCAAUUAACUUCACCUCUUCUGUUUCCUUCACUCUCUCCUUCCUUGAUUCCUAUCAUUAAUAUUAUUAAUCCAAAUAAAGUGUUUGGAUAAAUUAUUAAUUCCGGUUCCAGAAUUUCAAUUCCUACCAUUAUAUUAUUAAUCACAUACAAUCCCAUCAUUAGGAUUUGAUUCAACCAUUACACCAAAAAAAAAAGGAUUUGAUUCAACCACCGCCUAUCAAGACCAUCGCCGGCGAAAUUGCUUUAGAGUAAAAGGAACCCGACGGUUGGGGCAUGUUGACUCGGUCCAAAUCGCCUAACAAUUGGGCUUAUAUAACGACAGUGGUUUCUACGACGGAUAUGGCGGCAGCGACGAGUGACGUGGGUGACGUUGCAAUAGUAUUUUGCAAGGACAUGAUCGAUGGCGUCAUUGUUGGUGCAUAGAGGUGUCAAAAGUCGAAAGAACAUUGAAAUGGAAGGAUGUAAUUUGGGAUUAGAUUGAUAGAGGAGAGAGUGAUUGCAGAAGAGAGGUGAGGUGGAGAUGGCGGUGGUUGUGGUAUUGGUGUUUCGUUGGAGGAGAGAUAGGGUGUGGGAGAGGAGAGAGAAAUGAUGGGUAUGGCAAAUGUUAAAAAAAAUGGGUGAAGGGAAUUGGGCUUGCUGGAGAAUUUGAAAUGACAAUAAAAAUUGUGUCAUUUUAAAUUAUUCAUCUAUGGGUAUGACAACACUAUCAGGUACAAUGCGACCCGCAGGCAUUGACAUCGUACCAAGCUCGAGUUCUUAUUAUUUUCCAAUUUCUAGAGUUUUGUUUUUCAAUUUCAGUAUUAGUAUUUUGUUUUUAUUGGGCAAAUUUGUAAAAAACUACCUUAUAAAUUUGGAUUUUUGCGAAAAACUACCUUAUAAAAAAAAUGUUGGAAUUAACUACCUUAUAAAAAUUUUACGUUGCAGGAUACUACCUUUCGUCGGAUUAUAAGCAUCGAUUACACAUUUCGGGGUCGACUUUACUAGGUGCAUCUCAUGUGGCAUGUCAUGGAAAAUGAGUAAUUAAAUAACUCAUGAGAUACAUAUGAUAAAGUCAAUCCCGAAAUUAUGAUUCAACGUUCAAAAUUCGGAAAAAGGUAGUAUCUUAAAACAUAAUUAUUUUAUAAGGUAGUUAAUUACAACAUUUUUUUAUAAGGUAGUUUUUCACAAAUAAUCAAAUUUAUAAGGUAGUUUUUGACAAAUUUGCCUUUUUAUUAUUCAAACUUUUCUUGCUAAUUUGUAAAACAUAUUCUUUAAGGGAAAGAAACGAUAUUUUUAAAUAGAUAAAAUUUUGUAAUGGUGAUUACAAACAUCAAUGUUAACAAACAUAUUUCAAAUAAAAUAAACGUGUUUACUUCAA
This is a long non-coding RNA of Spinacia oleracea (spinach), 1364 nucleotides long. RefSeq lists it as uncharacterized. NCBI's taxonomy places the organism in Eukaryota, Viridiplantae, Streptophyta, Magnoliopsida, Caryophyllales, Amaranthaceae. The transcript has 2 exons. The record is from RefSeq and is a predicted model, not a curated record.